This 1302-nucleotide ribosomal RNA is filed under the name metagenome. RNAcentral describes it as "bacterial LSU rRNA". It matches the Rfam family "Bacterial large subunit ribosomal RNA", at positions 1633 to 2925 of the family's 2925-position model. The record is from RNAcentral.
CCUACACGACCGUACCGCAAACCGACACUGGUGCGCGAGAUGAGUAUUCUAAGGCGCUUGAGAGAACUCAGGAGAAGGAACUCGGCAAAUUGACACCGUAACUUCGGAAGAAGGUGUGCCUUUAGUAGGUGAAGGGAUUUACUCCCGGAGCCCAAUGAGGUUGCAAAAAAUCGGUGGCUGCGACUGUUUAAUAAAAACACAGCACUCUGCAAACACGAAAGUGGACGUAUAGGGUGUGACGCCUGCCCGGUGCUGGAAGAUUAAAUGAUGGGGUGCAGGCUCUUGAUUGAAGUCCCAGUAAACGGCGGCCGUAACUAUAACGGUCCUAAGGUAGCGAAAUUCCUUGUCGGGUAAGUUCCGACCUGCACGAAUGGCGUAACGAUGGCCACACUGUCUCCUCCUGAGACUCAGCGAAGUUGAAAUGUUUGUGAUGAUGCAAUCUCCCCGCGGAAAGACGGAAAGACCCCAUGAACCUUUACUGUAGCUUUGUAUUGGACUUUGAACAGAUCUGUGUAGGAUAGGUGGGAGGCUUUGAAGCAGGGUCGCUAGAUCUUGUGGAGCCAACGUUGAAAUACCACCCUGGUGUGUUUGAGGUUCUAACCUAGGUCCAUUAUCUGGAUCGGGGACAGUGCAUGGUAGGCAGUUUGACUGGGGCGGUCUCCUCCCAAAGCGUAACGGAGGAGUUCGAAGGUACGCUAGGUACGGUCGGACAUCGUGCUAAUAGUGCAAUGGCAUAAGCGUGCUUAACUGCGAGACUGACAAGUCGAGCAGAUGCGAAAGCAGGACAUAGUGAUCCGGUGGUUCUGUAUGGAAGGGCCAUCGCUCAACGGAUAAAAGGUACUCUGGGGAUAACAGGCUGAUACCGCCCAAGAGUUCAUAUCGACGGCGGUGUUUGGCACCUCGAUGUCGGCUCAUCUCAUCCUGGGGCUGUAGCCGGUCCCAAGGGUAUGGCUGUUCGCCAUUUAAAGAGGUACGUGAGCUGGGUUUAAAACGUCGUGAGACAGUUUGGUCCCUAUCUUCCGUGGGCGCUGCAGAUUUGAGGAAGCCUGCUCCUAGUACGAGAGGACCGGAGUGGACACACCUCUGGUGUAUCGGUUGUCACGCCAGUGGCAUUGCCGAGUAGCUAAGUGUGGAAGAGAUAACCGCUGAAAGCAUCUAAGCGGGAAACUCGUUUCAAGAUGAGAUCUGCCGGGGCCUUGAGCCCCCUAAAGAGUCGUUCAAGACCAGGACGUUGAUAGGUCAGGUGUGGAAGCGCAGUAAUGCGUUAAGCUAACUGAUACUAAUUGCUCGUGCGGCUUGAUC